GACGAACGCUGGCGGCGUGCCUAAUACAUGCAAGUCGAACGCUUCUUUCCUCCCGAGUGCUUGCACUCAAUUGGAAAGAGGAGUGGCGGACGGGUGAGUAACACGUGGGUAACCUACCCAUCAGAGGGGGAUAACACUUGGAAACAGGUGCUAAUACCGCAUAACAGUUUAUGCCGCAUGGCAUAAGAGUGCAAGGCGCUUUCGGGUGUCGCUGAUGGAUGGACCCGCGGUGCAUUAGCUAGUUGGUGAGGUAACGGCUCACCAAGGCCACGAUGCAUAGCCGACCUGAGAGGGGGAUCGGCCACACUGGGACUGAGACACGGCCCAGACUCCUACGGGAGGCAGCAGUAGGGAAUCUUCGGCAAUGGACGAAAGUCUGACCGAGCAACGCCGCGUGAGUGAAGAAGGUUUUCGGAUCGUAAAACUCUGUUGUUAGAGAAGAACAAGGACGUUAGUAACUGAACGUCCCCUGACGGUAUCUAACCAGGAAGCCACGGCUAACUACGUG
Molecule: ribosomal RNA, 508 nt
Filed under: uncultured bacterium
Lineage: Bacteria
Description: partial 16S ribosomal RNA
Rfam family: Bacterial small subunit ribosomal RNA
Source: RNAcentral